GAUUGACCAGGGAACUGACAGAUUCAGAUUGAGUGAAUUUUUGUGAGACAGUUGGCCUUUAAAAGCUAUAAAUAGGUGGAAAAAACGAAUACUUCAAAGUGAAGAAAACUAAAAUGGUAUACAAAUUAGAAAGGAAAAUAAUACAACAAUAGACCCUUGACUUAUUUCAGGCAAACUUCCUCGAAUAAAAUAAAUGUAAACUGUUGGGCCCCAUUUCAGUCAAUAAAUAAAUUCAAGUAAAAUGCAAAUUUUAAAGAAUCACCCACGGGUGUCACUGCCUAACUUGAUUAACUUAAGCUCCCCAGAGCGGGCGCUGGCAAGGCUCCUAAUGCCAUUCCAUUACCAAUUGAGGUCAACUAGCGAGUGGGUUCAGCUAAUGUGAUCAUUGGCAGCGCAGCUUCCGCCGGAUCCGUGGGCACGGGUAUGUAUGAACCUGCAUUGCCGGCGCCAAAGAGUUCUGUUCUGAUGUUUGUGCAGGCAAACUCAUUUGGCUUUUUGGCACAUUAGGCGGUUGCCUGCGAACAACUAAAUACAAGGACGAACGGCAGGAGCUCAAGGCAGCCGCCAGGAAGCCGAACAAUGGGGACACUGCUGCCUCGACCGCUGAUGGUGACGGUGAUGCUGAUGCCGCUGUAAUUGGCCCUAAUCUACUCAGCUCUUGGCAUUGAGGAGGUCGCUGUCCCCGGACACAAUGCCGACCCUGGACGCACGCUCUCACAAUGAGCCUUUGCAGAGCGACAGUCAUUGUGUCCUGGUCUGCUGCUCCUGGCCCCUGCUCCUGUGUCUGUCCCCUGGCCAUUUCCUCGUCUGUCCGCCGGAGACUAACAAGUCCAAACAAUUGACAAAAUGAAGCGACAACGCCGAACGAGUCUGGAACGGGCGAAAUCUAAUUUAGCGCAAGUGAUGGCAGUAGUCAGGUCAGGACGGGUCAUGGCGUGAGGCGAGUCCUUGUCGAGGGGCGGGAGUGCCUGGGAUAGCGGCAGGUAUACUGGCUCGAGAUGAUGCACAGAGCAAAAAAAAGGAUAUAAUCGAAGUGCUCCAAGAGUUGAGAUUUAUUUUCCAUAAUCCUUAAAAUACGUUAUCCUGUUUAAAGAAACUAUAUAAAAUCUUAGAACAUAUAAACAAAAAAUAAACGAAUGAGCCUUUCAUA
This is a long non-coding RNA of Drosophila kikkawai, 1150 nucleotides long. RefSeq lists it as uncharacterized. Lineage: Eukaryota; Metazoa; Arthropoda; Insecta; Diptera; Drosophilidae. The record is from RefSeq and is a predicted model, not a curated record.